Molecule: ribosomal RNA, 253 nt
Filed under: uncultured bacterium
Lineage: Bacteria
Description: partial 16S ribosomal RNA
Rfam family: Bacterial small subunit ribosomal RNA
Source: RNAcentral
UACGUAGGCAGCAAGCGUUGUUCGAAGUUACUGGGCGUAAAGAGUGCGUAGGUGGUGCCCUAAGUCUGUUGUGAAAUCUCCCGGCUUAACUGGGAGGGUGCGGUGGAAACUGGGGUGCUUGAGUGUGGGAGAGGUAAGCGGAAUUCCUGGUGUAGCGGUGAAAUGCGUAGAUAUCAGGAGGAACACCGGUGGUGUAGACGGCUUACUGGACCACGACUGACACUGAGGCACGAAAGCGUGGGUAGCAAACAGG